GGAGAACAAGAUCAAGGGAUUAUAAAUGAUUUGUGACAAAAUCAACCUUAUUUCUUUUCAUAACUUGUUUUCCCCCUGACAUUAAAAUGCUAAAUCGAGAAUACUAUGUACUGGAGACAGAAAGGUUAAGAGUGGGUUCUUUAUAUUGCCUGUAAACCAGAGGUCUUAAACUAAAGGAAUAAAAGAUACCUGUUGAGGCUUGCAAGUGCUCUGGCUUGAUCCAAUGGGUAGGAAAUGAAACAGUCAUUUGGGAUGACAGGUUGAGUGAGCACAACAGAAUCUACAUUUCACUAGAGGGGUCUUUGCUCUAGUUCAAUUCCUACACACUAGGAUUCACAGCUAAAAACAUCUGAUAUUGAAUCCAGCUGUUAAUGCUCCAUAUUAAAUAAGGCACUUCAAGUAUUGAGAGAUGGAUCAGCUUUUAAUGUCUAAUGAAAUACUGCAGUCUUUCCAAGGCAUCCUAGAAUCAAUUGCUGAUUAUCUCUUAUCACUAAAAAAUUACAUUACAAAAAUCUAAUUAUUUUUUUAAAAGUAGGUCCUCAGAAAGUCUUCAUUUCUUCAGUUAAUGUGACUUCUAAAAGCCUUGCCUCUGUUGACCCUCCUGCUGAUAUCUAGCUUGGGAACACUGAAUUUCAGCCAACAUAGCUUAAUGGCUGGUGACCUGGCUGUCCUUAGAGGCCCAACUCUGGUGGUGUUUCUGUCAACUGGAUAGAAAAUCAUGUGUAAUGGUCAUGGCAUCAGUAGGAGAAGUUCUCUGGCUAUUUCCUGUAAGACCUCAUUACUUGAUAACUCACUGCAUUUAGGAUCUGGCACUAUGGCUUCCAGGCUCAGGAAGCCAAUGUUUAUGGUGCCUUGAAAGUUCAGCCAUUAUUCAAGAACAAAUCCACAUUAAAUAAGCACAAAGAGACAGACUUGUAUCUCUAAAAGCAAAAAGUACAGCUGCUAGAUGCCAAAAAUCUCAGCUUGAUCUGACUAGCUCAUUUUCUAUCUAUGGAUAUGUCUAAAGUUACAGGUGGUAUUAAUCAGAAAAUUGCUAUGUAUUGGAGCUAAAAGCAUUAAGUCUAAGAGACAAUGAUAAAGAUAAAUGGCUUCAAGCCCAAGUGGUAUAAUGCUAAUAAGCAUGGACUCUGAAACCAGAACAAUGCUGUUUUAAUCCUAACUUUUCCACUAAUUAGUUUUAUGAACUUGAUUUUAUUACUUAAGCCACAUAUCUUAGUUUACUCCUAUGUAACAUGUGUAUGAUAAUAAAAAAAAAAAAAAUCUACCUCCUAAAGUAGUCUUAGGUAGGGAGGGAGUACGUUGUGUUAACACUUUUUUUCUCUUUUCUGUUUCAUGCAUUUACAAUAUUUUAAUCACUUAUAAUUACACCUGUUAUAAAGUAAGCUCUCUAUAAAUACACUAUCAGACUAGACAUGGUGUGUCAGCUUACUUUCUUCCUGGGCAAUGUUUCAAUUGACAUGAUAACCCCUCUACCCUGACUGAGACAUAUAUUCUUUAUUUAAAUGGGCUAAUAGGGUAGAGGAGAUACUUCACAUCAUUCAACAGUAAAAGUAGUAACCACUAGCUUAUAUGCAUUGGGUAACCACCAUGUCCUUUGGCACUAUUCUAAAUCUUUACAAGUAUAAUUUACAUCUCAAACAAUGCUUUAAGGUUUAUACCAUUAUUAUUACUAUUUUAUCUCCAUUUUAAAACAAAGUGACAGAGGCACAAAGAGGUUGGAAUUUGUAUAAAAUCCUACAGAUAGCAAGAGCCAAGGCCAGGAUUUAUUUUAACCUCCUUGCCACUCGAAACGUGGUCUGUGGGGCAGCAGUUUCCACACCAUCUGGGAGUUUAUUAGAAAUGCAAAACUGCAGGCCCCACCUCAGAUCUACUGGAUCAGGAUCUUCAUGGGCACAAAAUCCCCAGGGGAUGUGUAUACACACUAACGUUUCAGAAGCAAAGAUCUAAAUAUCUGUGUCAUUCUGCUUCUCAUGUAUUAACUUAUGAAAACUUCACAACAAAAUAAUGAUGUAAGAUCCCAAUAUGUCCAUACUAUAUAUGAGAAAAAUUAGGCUGAAGUAAAUUGCCCGAUAUCUCAUGACCAGUAAUGGGCGGGGCAGUGAUUCACACUCAGGCUACCUGAGUCCAGAGCUCUUGCUAAGGCUGAGCUGCUAUCCUGACACAUCUUUUGAGUUGCUGAUUUAUAGCAGAGAACAAAUUACAACAUGAUGCUUGAUCUUUUGCUUCACUUUGGGAACACAGCCAACUCCAGAAGGCAGGAGUAACUGCCUCAAGAUAUUUAGAUAACAUUCACACUCUAGUAGAAAAAUGUGUCAAUAUAUGAAAUCAUGGCCAAUCCCCACACAAACAUCUUGAGUUUCUAGCUUCUAUACUAAAUUGUUUCAUGUGGGGAAAGGUGCGUUCCUCACAUUGUGCUUGCUCUCAGUUUAAUAAAAACAAAAACAAUUCACCUGAAAGCAAAAACCAUACAAAAUUCCACUCUGAGACUAGUCCAGUGGCCCCUUCUCACAUGCAAUUCCCUCACAUGCAACUUCUGAAUUCGAAAGAGAAAGCUUAGGUAAGUGGGAGAACAUUGUGCCAGAGUUAUUUAUCCACUUAUGGAUAAAGAAAAAAACAUGUUGAGAUAUAUGAGCUGAGUUCAAGUUAAGCAUGUGUGUCUUCUUUCCACGGUUUUUUUCCACAAAGGAAACAAUUUACUACACUUGGCACAGUACUUUAUGUCCAUUAUCCAAUUUAAUCCUUAAUCAGGAUGCUAUGAAAUAGGUUCUAUUAUCAUUUAAAGUAGCCAGUAAGUGGCAAAAUCAGCAUUGAAACCUGCUCCUAUUACGAACCCACAGGAUCAACCUCAACACUUGAUUCCAGCUGUGAGUUCGUUACCUUCAUAUCUCUGUUAAUAUGAAUCAGACCACAUUUGUUUAGCUAAAUUUUGGUUUGAUUGCUCUAGGAGAGACAAGCUGAUUCCAACACCGACGAAUGUGGUUUCAUUUCUUAGCUAGCUCACCCAUGUAAGUCACAGCUGUUUUGUUCAGUGUCCUAAUCAACAAUUAUUGCAUUUUAAUAACUUCUGUAUUCAUAGUCCCACCUAGAGUGAAAAAAUU
This 3098-nucleotide long non-coding RNA is filed under the name Sus scrofa (pig). Its description in RNAcentral is "lncRNA (ENSSSCG00000060935.1)". The record is from RNAcentral. Lineage: Eukaryota; Metazoa; Chordata; Mammalia; Artiodactyla; Suidae.